RNAcentral lists this ribosomal RNA (253 nucleotides) under uncultured bacterium. RNAcentral's name for it is "partial 16S ribosomal RNA". It matches the Rfam family "Bacterial small subunit ribosomal RNA", at positions 524 to 776 of the family's 1533-position model. The record is from RNAcentral.
UACGUAGGGCGCAAGCGUUAUCCGGAAUGAUUGGGCGUAAAGCGUCCGCAGGUGGCAAUGUAAGUCUGCUGUCAAAGCGUCUGGCUCAACCAGAUACAGGCAGUGGAAACUACAUAGCUAGAGUAAGGUAGGGGUAGAGGGAAUUCCUGGUGUAGCGGUGAAAUGCGUAGAGAUCAGGAAGAACACCGGUGGCGAAGGCGCUCUGCUGGACCUUAACUGACACUGAGGGACGAAAGCUAGGGGAGCGAAUGGG